AGAAUCCGCAACGUCCUUCCCCGGGCGUAGCAAGCGGAAGGCAAGAACUAGGACAGCACGCGGGGAGGUGGCAGAUCAUUCCUGCACUAUUCGGCCUUAUUUUACGUAGCAUAAUGUUUUCAAGGCUCAUCCAUGUAGUAGCAGCAGAUGAUGUGGCUUGGAGACAUUCCAGACAGACACAGCUAAAUGACAAUGGGCAAAGCAGGAGCACAUCUCUGCAACACGUAUGACAAACAAAAUGUUGUUAUUCUUGGUUUUUAGGAAG
Lepus europaeus (European hare) is the source of this 265-nucleotide long non-coding RNA. RefSeq lists it as uncharacterized. The transcript is spliced from 3 exons. Lineage: Eukaryota; Metazoa; Chordata; Mammalia; Lagomorpha; Leporidae. The record is from RefSeq and is a predicted model, not a curated record.